This 381-nucleotide ribosomal RNA is filed under the name uncultured bacterium. Its description in RNAcentral is "bacterial SSU rRNA". It matches the Rfam family "Bacterial small subunit ribosomal RNA", at positions 367 to 762 of the family's 1533-position model. The record is from RNAcentral.
CGCAAUGGGCGCAAGUCUGACGGAGCGAUACAGCGUGAAGGACGAAGUGCUUCGGUACGUAAACAUCUUUUAUGUGGGACGAAAUUAUUGACGGUACCACAUGAAUAAGGGGCUCCUAACUCUGUGCCAGCAGGAGCGGUAAUACAGAGGCCCCAAGCAUUAUCCGGAAUCACUGGGCGUAAAGGGUGUCAAGGCGGUCAUGUUAGUCGUUCGUUAAAUCUGGGGGCUCAACCUCCAGCCUGCGAGCGAAACGGCAUGACUUGAGGUCAGGAGAGGUAUGUGGAACUCACGGUGUAGGGGUGAAAUCCGUUGAUAUCGUGGGGAACACCAAAGGCGAAGGCAGCAUACUGGCCUGAAUCUGACGCUCACACACGAAAGCCA